This 410-nucleotide ribosomal RNA is filed under the name uncultured bacterium. Its description in RNAcentral is "partial 16S ribosomal RNA". It matches the Rfam family "Bacterial small subunit ribosomal RNA", at positions 355 to 757 of the family's 1533-position model. The record is from RNAcentral.
UAGGGAAUCUUCCACAAUGGACGCAAGUCUGAUGGAGCAACGCCGCGUGAGUGAAGAAGGUUUUCGGACCGUAAAGCUCUGUUGUUGGUGAAGAAGGAUAGAGGUAGUAACUGGCCUUUAUUUGACGGUAAUCAACCAGAAAGUCACGGCUAACUACGUGCCAGCAGCCGCGGUAAUCGUAGGUGGCAAGCGUUGUCCGGAUUUAUUGGGCGUAAAGCGAGCGCAGGCGGAAGAAUAAGUCUGAUGUGAAAGCCCUCGGCUUAACCGAGGAAUUGCAUCGGAAACUGUUUUUCUUGAGUGCAGAAGAGGAGAGUAGAACUCCAUGUGUAGCGGUGGAAUGCGUAGAUAUAUGGAAGAAUACCAGUGGCGAAGGCGGCUCUCUGGUCUGCAAACUGACGCUGAGGCUCGAA